CGGGAGGGGCGGUAGGGAAUCUUCCGACAGAGUCAGGACGAAGCUGACGGAGCACGCCCGCGUGAGUGAUGAAGGCUUUCGGGUCGUAAAACUCUGUUGUUAGGGAAGAACAAGUGCUAGUUGAAUAAGCUGGCACCUUGACGGUACCUAACCAGAAAGCCACGGCUAACUACGUGCCAGCAGCCGCGGUAAUACGUAGGUGGCAAGCGUUAUCCGGAAUUAUUGGGCGUAAAGCGCGCGCAGGUGGUUUCUUAAGUCUGAUGUGAAAGCCCACGGCUCAACCGUGGAGGGUCAUUGGAAACUGGGAGACUUGAGUGCAGAAGAGGAAAGUGGAAUUCCAUGUGUAGCGGUGAAAUGCGUAGAGAUAUGGAGGAACACCAGUGGCGAAGGCGACUUUCUGGUCUGUAACUGACACUGAGGCGCGAAAGCGUGGGGAGCAAACAGGAUUAGAUACCCUGGUAGUCCACGCCGUAAACGAUGAGUGCUAAGUGUUAGAGGGUUUCCGCCCUUUAGUGCUGAAGUUAACGCAUUAGCACUCCGCCUGGGGAGUCGGCCGCAAGCUGAAACUCAA
RNAcentral lists this ribosomal RNA (571 nucleotides) under uncultured Bacillus sp. RNAcentral's name for it is "bacterial SSU rRNA". It matches the Rfam family "Bacterial small subunit ribosomal RNA", at positions 342 to 904 of the family's 1533-position model. The record is from RNAcentral. Lineage: Bacteria; Bacillati; Bacillota; Bacilli; Caryophanales; Bacillaceae.